AACGAACGCUGGCGGCAUGCCUAACACAUGCAAGUCGAACGAGACCUUCGGGUCUAGUGGCGCACGGGUACGUAACGCGUGGGAACCUGCCCUUAGGUUCGGAAUAACUCCCCGAAAGGGGUGCUAAUACCGGAUAAUGUCUUCGGACCAAAGAUUUAUCGCCUUUGGAUGGGCCCGCGUCGGAUUAGCUAGUUGGUAGGGUAAAAGCCUACCAAGGCGACGAUCCAUAGCUGGUCUGAGAGGAUGAUCAGCCACACUGGGACUGAGACACGGCCCAGACUCCUACGGGAGGCAGCAGUGGGGAAUAUUGGACAAUGGGCGAAAGCCUGAUCCAGCAAUGCCGCGUGAGUGAUGAAGGCCUUAGGGUUGUAAAGCUCUUUUACCCGGGAUGAUAAUGACAGUACCGGGAGAAUAAGCUCCGGCUAACUCCGUG
RNAcentral lists this ribosomal RNA (433 nucleotides) under uncultured bacterium. RNAcentral's name for it is "partial 16S ribosomal RNA". It matches the Rfam family "Bacterial small subunit ribosomal RNA", at positions 29 to 507 of the family's 1533-position model. The record is from RNAcentral.